Molecule: transfer RNA, 72 nt
Filed under: Dehalococcoidia bacterium
Lineage: Bacteria; Bacillati; Chloroflexota; Dehalococcoidia
Also listed under: 1 other name
Description: tRNA-Thr
Rfam family: tRNA
About the family: Transfer RNA (tRNA) molecules are approximately 80 nucleotides in length. Their secondary structure includes four short double-helical elements and three loops (D, anti-codon, and T loops). Further hydrogen bonds mediate the characteristic L-shaped molecular structure. tRNAs have two regions of fundamental functional importance: the anti-codon, which is responsible for specific mRNA codon recognition, and the 3' end, to which the tRNAs corresponding amino acid is attached (by aminoacyl-tRNA synthetases). tRNAs cope with the degeneracy of the genetic code in two manners: having more than one tRNA (with a specific anti-codon) for a particular amino acid; and 'wobble' base-pairing, i.e. permitting non-standard base-pairing at the 3rd anti-codon position.
Source: RNAcentral
GCCCGAGUGGCGCAACGGUAGCGCAAGCGAUUUGUAAUCGCUAGGUUGGGGGUUCGAUUCCCUUCUCGGGCU